UGGGGAAUAUUGCGCAAUGGGCGAAAGCCUGACGCAGCAACGCCGCGUGAGUGAUGAAGGCCUUCGGGUCGUAAAGCUCUGUCAGAGGGAACGAAUGUUCUUGAGGUUAAUAGCCUCAGGAAGUGACGGUACCCUCAAAGGAAGCACCGGCUAACUCUGUGCCAGCAGCCGCGGUAAUACAGAGGGUGCAAGCGUUGUUCGGAAUUAUUGGGCGUAAAGGGCGUGUAGGCGGUCUGCUAAGUCAUGUGUGAAAUCCCUCGGCUUAACCGAGGAACGACGCAUGAAACUGGUAAGCUAGAGUACCAAAGAGGGGGGUGAAUUCCCGGUGUAGCGGUGAAAUGCGUAGAUAUCGGGAGAACACCGGUGGCGAAGGCGGCCCCUGGUCGGAUACUGACGCUGAGACGCGAAAGCGUGGGAGCAAACAGGAUUAGAUACCCUGGUAGUCCACGC
Molecule: ribosomal RNA, 450 nt
Filed under: uncultured Pseudomonadota bacterium
Lineage: Bacteria; Pseudomonadati; Pseudomonadota
Description: bacterial SSU rRNA
Rfam family: Bacterial small subunit ribosomal RNA
Source: RNAcentral